RNAcentral lists this ribosomal RNA (496 nucleotides) under uncultured bacterium. RNAcentral describes it as "partial 16S ribosomal RNA". It matches the Rfam family "Bacterial small subunit ribosomal RNA", at positions 29 to 507 of the family's 1533-position model. The record is from RNAcentral.
AUGAACGCUGGCGGCGUGCCUCAUACAUGCAAGUCGAGCGAACAGACGAGGAGCUUGCUCCUCUGACAUUAGCGGCGGACGGGUGAGUAACACGUGGAUAACCUACCUAUAAGACUGGGAUAACUUCGGGAAACCGGAGCUAAUACCGGAUAAUAUAUUGAACCGCAUGGUUCAAUAGUGAAAGACGGUUUUGCUGUCACUUAUAGAUGGAUCCGCGCCGCAUUAGCUAGUUGGUAAGGUAACGGCUUACCAAGGCGACGAUGCGUAGCCGACCUGAGAGGGUGAUCGGCCACACUGGAACUGAGACACGGUCCAGACUCCUACGGGAGGCAGCAGUAGGGAAUCUUCCGCAAUGGGCGAAAGCCUGACGGAGCAACGCCGCGUGAGUGAUGAAGGUCUUCGGAUCGUAAAACUCUGUUAUUAGGGAAGAACAAAUGUGUAAGUAACUAUGCACGUCUUGACGGUACCUAAUCAGAAAGCCACGGCUAACUACGUG